GGAGGAGGGGCUUGGAAAAGUCGGGGGGGGGGGGGACUAAGCCUAUUCUGACUUUUGACAUCAAACGAUCAACGGAACACAAGCUGGCAGGGAAGAAUUGACGAAAAAAGUGUUUAAUAGAGAAAAUGCAACUAAUUAUCCAGUCAAAUGGCCGUAUGAAAAUAAGAAUUUGAAGGAUACAUCUAUGUCUACUACUUUGUAGGAACUGCUUUGUAGGAACUGCUUUGUUCUUACAAGCUCGGAAUAUCGGCUCGACUUCUUCACCUGGUGCGGUGGUUGAAAACUUUAUAGUUUAAGGAAAAGGCUACAAAACCAGCUACAAAACCAGCAGCAUUUAUCAGAGAAUUGUCGAGGCUCUGCACUACUAUUCUCAUUAUGAUGUUACAGAGCAAAAAAAAAAAAAAAAGCUUUAUUUAUGAUAGCUAAAAUACGGAAUUGUUCUCCUAAACGAGCGAACACCACAAGGCAAACAACAUGGACAGUCAAGGUGGACUGUUAAUAUCCAAAAGCCAUGAUGUGCGACUGUAUGAAGACAUGGAUGAUGAGCAGCAUAUUUUAGCAAGAUAUUUAGCUUUCCUUUCUUCCCUUUAAAAUAUGUUUUUCCUUUUCAAUCAAUCUGCAUUCUUCCCCUGGGAAAAAUACUUUUGAUGUUUGGUUGAUAUUGCCCUAAAAUUUUAGCAAUUAAAAAAAAACAAAUCUG
This is a long non-coding RNA of Nematostella vectensis (starlet sea anemone), 700 nucleotides long. RefSeq lists it as uncharacterized. NCBI's taxonomy places the organism in Eukaryota, Metazoa, Cnidaria, Anthozoa, Actiniaria, Edwardsiidae. The record is from RefSeq and is a predicted model, not a curated record. The transcript is spliced from 2 exons.